Molecule: non-coding RNA, 117 nt
Filed under: Gorilla gorilla gorilla (western lowland gorilla)
Lineage: Eukaryota; Metazoa; Chordata; Mammalia; Primates; Hominidae
Source: Rfam by way of RNAcentral
GCCGGGCAUGGUGGCUCAUGCCUGUAAUCCCAGCACUUUGGGAGGCUGAGGUGGGUGGAUCACCUGAGGUUGGGAGUUCAAGACCAGCCUGACCAACAUGGUGAAACCCCGUCUCUA